UUCAAUCGUGUGAAUUCUUCAUGUAUUGCCGGGUCUAAGAGUAACUUCCUUGCCUGUCAUCAAAUAUCAAACACCGAACUAAGCACAGGCAAAAGUACCCAAAACAGAGAGACAACAGGGACUCAUAAUGUAGCCUGCAGAUGCAUCAUCCCAGAAACCACCCCCCUCUCCCUCUUUUAUCUUCAAAAUAUAUAUUUCUCUUCCUUGCUACCAGCAUGCAUGUCAGACACGGAUCUACCUACUUAUAACACUUGUAGUCUUCUUCUUAAGCCCCCAACGAAGCAGAAAGGCUGGAAGAUUUCCAACAAGGCAAAGUGUAGAAAGUACUCAAUUACAUAUUGAAAGAGGCUGGACCUAAAUAGAAGAUAAAACAAACAACAACAUAGAUUUUAACUGCACAUAUAGCAACAAAAAGAUGUAAAAGACCAUGGCUUUUUGCCGCAUGCUCUAAAUCUCUGAGGUCCAGGCCCCAAUUCGUCUCUACCAAAGUUCUGAUUCCUCACAAGAAAGGUUUUUCCCCACUUUUCCACAUAAAAAGGUUUUCUCGCACAUAUAAAUGAAGAAUAUUAGAUUUACAAAUUACUACUACAAAAAGAAAAUUCCUAAGUGAACUUUGCAAGUUAGUUAUGUGUAAUGCAACUGAUAAGAAAUUGACAAAUGCUAGAAGGCAGACACUGGAAAGUCCAACUACACCAAAUAUAAAAAACUUUCCUUUCAUGUAAGUUGGAAAUAAAACCAUUUCUACUAGUCAAUGCUGAUAAGGUAAAGCUCCAGUGCCUUGGCACAUACCUGCAUUGAUGGUGGCUUUUGUUGAGCUCUCAAAUCCCUAACAGCUGACUGAAAAUUCAUUUCAAAGAAGCACACAUAAUAAUGUUACAGAGAAUCACCAGAAAUUAUAACUUUGCAAAGGAAAAUAGGCACAAGAACAGUUUUACCAUGAUAUAAAAAAAUGGAAGGACUCUUUGGUGAAUCCAAUCAACAAUAUCAAUAUUCUUGUUAUACUAGUUCAAAGAAAACUCCUUGAGCUGACCUUGAUAUAACCUCUUGGAAAUUUUUCAGGGACAUUUAAAUUCUGUAUGGCCAUCUUUUUCCUUUUUUUUUUUUUUUUUUUUGAGGGAGUGGCUCAAUUGUGAGAAACAUAAAGAGAUGAGAACUCAUGAAAAGGAAAAAAUAUAAAUAAAAUUAAAGAAGCAAUGCAGUGGCCACUUUUUCAAAACUUCAGAAAAGUUCACAGAAAUGAAUUUAACAGAAGAAAAGGAUGCUCUCUUCCAUAAUCCUUUCUUCUAUAUUCUUCAUAAUAUGUACAACUGUAAUGGAUGAGGCUAUGCAAAUUCUAAAAGGCAGCAAAUGAGUUAUUCUUCAAAUCAAAUGAAGGUUAUAGCCAAAAUCUACAAACAUAAGCUAGCAUGAUUCUUGAGUAGAAAUCUCAUGAUCUCCCCAAAACAACUGUUAAUCACAAUAUCCUAUAUCUCCAGAAAACUCACAUGAGCUCAAGUCAGCUUUUAACCGAAAGGACAAUCAAUUCAGAAGACAAUUUCACACUUCCUGUCCUUUUCCAUUUCAUGAAGUUAUUUGUGGUCUUCUCAACCUCACAGAGAAACAUUUCUCUACGUAUUCCGCUGUAAAUAACAAAUUUUGCAGGCCGGAUGUGCAAUGCAGCUAAACAAAGAUAAAUAAUAUUU
Molecule: long non-coding RNA, 1682 nt
Filed under: Coffea arabica (coffee)
Lineage: Eukaryota; Viridiplantae; Streptophyta; Magnoliopsida; Gentianales; Rubiaceae
Description: long non-coding RNA (CARA_LNC002826)
Source: RNAcentral